This 467-nucleotide ribosomal RNA is filed under the name uncultured bacterium. Its description in RNAcentral is "bacterial SSU rRNA". It matches the Rfam family "Bacterial small subunit ribosomal RNA", at positions 330 to 794 of the family's 1533-position model. The record is from RNAcentral.
ACCAGACUCCUACGGGAGGCAGCAGUGAGGAAUAUUGGUCAAUGGGCGGGAGCCUGAACCAGCCAAGUCGCGUGAGGGAAGACGGUCCUAUGGAUUGUAAACCUCUUUAGGCGGGGAGCAAUGCCGGGCACGCGUGCCCGGAGGGAGAGUACCCGCAGAAUAAGCAUCGGCUAACUCCGUGCCAGCAGCCGCGGUAAUACGGAGGAUGCGAGCGUUAUCCGGAUUUAUUGGGUUUAAAGGGUGCGCAGGCGGAAUGUCAAGUCAGCGGUAAAAUUUCGGGGCUCAACCCCGUCGUGCCGUUGAAACUGGCGUUCUUGAGUGAGCGAGAAGUAUGCGGAAUGCGUGGUGUAGCGGUGAAAUGCAUAGAUAUCACGCAGAACUCCGAUUGCGAAGGCAGCAUACCGGCGCUCAACUGACGCUGAAGCACGAAGGCGUGGGUAUCGAACAGGAUUAGAUACCCUUGUAAG